This 305-nucleotide ribosomal RNA is filed under the name uncultured bacterium. Its description in RNAcentral is "bacterial SSU rRNA". It matches the Rfam family "Bacterial small subunit ribosomal RNA", at positions 334 to 656 of the family's 1533-position model. The record is from RNAcentral.
UUUCCCUACGGGACGCAGCAGUGGGGAAUAUUGCACAAUGGGCGAAAGCCUGAUGCAGCAACGCCGCGUGAAGGAAGAAGGUCUUCGGAUCGUAAACUUCUGUCCUUGGGGAAGAUAAUGACGGUACCCUUGGAGGAAGCCCCGGCUAACUACGUGCCAGCAGCCGCGGUAAUACGUAGGGGGCAAGCGUUAUCCGGAUUUACUGGGUGUAAAGGGAGCGUAGGCGGUGCAGCAAGUCAGAAGUGCAAGCCCGGGGCUCAACUCCGGGACUGCUUUUGAAACUGUUGAACUAGAUUGCAGGAGAG